This 145-nucleotide non-coding RNA is filed under the name Cryptomonas paramaecium. The record is from RNAcentral. Lineage: Eukaryota; Cryptophyceae; Cryptomonadales; Cryptomonadaceae.
CCUCGCUCUUCAACGACCUCAAGCCGCUCUACAGCAACCCGGAGAAGGUGGCGGCGAUCGAGGCGGUGAUGGAGGCGAACCGCGCCAGCCUGGAGAAGGAGCAGCGGCUCGCCGCCGCGCCGGGCGAGCAGCCGGAGGACCCCGA